UGGAGAGUUUGAUCCUGGCUCAGAUUGAACGCUGGCGGCAGGCUUAACACAUGCAAGUCGAGCGGGGAAAGGUAGCUUGCUACUGGAYCUAGCGGCGGACGGGUGAGUAAUGCUUAGGAAUCUGCCUAUUAGUGGGGGACAACAUUCCGAAAGGAAUGCUAAUACCGCAUACGUCCUACGGGAGAAAGCAGGGGACCUUCGGGCCUUGCGCUAAUAGAUGAGCCUAAGUCGGAUUAGCUAGUUGGUGGGGUAAAGGCCUACCAAGGCGACGAUCUGUAGCGGGUCUGAGAGGAUGAUCCGCCACACUGGGACUGAGACACGGCCCAGACUCCUACGGGAGGCAGCAGUGGGGAAUAUUGGACAAUGGGGGGAACCCUGAUCCAGCCAUGCCGCGUGUGUGAAGAAGGCCUUAUGGUUGUAAAGCACUUUAAGCGAGGAGGAGGCUACUAGUAUUAAUACUACUGGAUAGUGGACGUUACUCGCAGAAUAAGCACCGGCUAACUCUGUGCCA
This 511-nucleotide ribosomal RNA is filed under the name Acinetobacter sp. LU3. RNAcentral describes it as "bacterial SSU rRNA". It matches the Rfam family "Bacterial small subunit ribosomal RNA", at positions 1 to 510 of the family's 1533-position model. Lineage: Bacteria; Pseudomonadati; Pseudomonadota; Gammaproteobacteria; Moraxellales; Moraxellaceae. The record is from RNAcentral.